GAGCAGUCGGCCAGACCCAGUGCUAGGAGCCAGCUCUGCCCCUCCGCGUCCCUGGAAAGCGUGGAGAGUCUCAAGUCUGAUGAAGAAGCCGACAGCGCGAAGGAGCCUCAGAAUGAAUUGUUUGAAGUCCAAGGAAGCAGGUGGAGCAGAUGGCCAGGGAGCGAGAUAAGGUGAGACAAGACCUGGAGAAAGCUGAGCAGAGGAACCUGGAGUUUGUGAACGAGUCCGACGACCUCCAUUCCGCCCUGGAGCAUCUCGCGGAGGAGAAGGUCAGAAUCAAGUUGGAAAAGCUUUCUGAAGAAAUCACGCUCUUGAAAAAUGAGGUGGGGAAGAUCCGACAAGAGCUUGAAGCCUCAGAAAGGACAGAGGCUGCACAGAGGUGGAUUUUUUACCGUCUGAACUACCAGGAAAUGGAGUGUGGGCAUCAGAUAAAUGGACUCUUUAGAAAUCGUGAGCUUUCCUGGACACGCCCUUACCUUGUGGGGUGGCCUACCAGCUGUAUGGAGCCACCCAGAAGCUGUGGCUGGCCCGGUCCCAGCACGCCCAGCGGGUGCAGCAGUCGCAGGAGGAGAUGGCACAGCGCAUGCCCACAGGCCGCGUGGCCGAGCUGCAGCAGCUGCUGGAAGGGGAGCAGCGGGCAGCUUGGCAGCUCCAGGAGGAGGCGCAGGAAGCACAUGAAAAACAGCUGGAAGCAACAGAAGAGCAGGUGGAGGAGGUGGAGAUGACUUUGAAGAACAUGGAAGUGCUCCUCCAAGAGAAAGUGGGUGAGCUGAAGGAACAGUUUGAAAAGAGCACAGGAUCUGAUCUGCUGCUCAAGGAGCUCUAUGUGGAAAAUGCCCACCUGACAAAAGCGCUUCAAGUCACUGAGGAGAAGCAACGAGGCACUGAGAAAAAGUCCCGAUUCUUGGACGGAAAAGUUAGAACUCUCAGCAAACUCCUCAGCAAGAUUGCUGAAGCUUCCCUCGCUGUUUAGACUGCUUUUCUUCCUGGCGUUCAUUUUGAAGGAACGUCUAUUAAAGUAAACCACUGUGACACCGUAACUUAUUGUGGCUCACUGGCUGUACACCCCUGGAUAAAUGAGGAUUGUGAUUCUGUUUACCCCACAAGCAUUUAAUGAAGGGUUGUGUGCCAAAUGCCUGGGAAACAUGUUGGAGAGGACUAUUUUUUUUUUUAGUGGUCCUUGGGUAACUUCCAGAGUUACAUUCCGAAUUUUGCUACUGAAAAACAAACCAGAUUAUGGGGUUCUCAGCAAGGUAAAUGGUAAAAUAAAGCAAUUUUAAUCUUGCACUUCUGACCUUGGCUACAGAGAUUAAAAUGUGAAGUCAGGGCUCUGUAGUUUUACCAUUGCACUGUUAGUUCUAUGGGUUUAGUCUCUGGCAUUCUCGAUGGUGGAUCGGUGUAGACACUCCAGAAACGCUACACUUUCUGUGACUUUCAACUAGCGAUAAGGGAUAGAGGAAGGAAGCCUUUUUGUCAGGGCCUGUUCCACCACGAGGGAGGUCUAGACAGUGCUGGUGUUUCAGAGCUGUGGACUCAGGGAGGAUGGUAUCGUAUCCAUUGUGAAUGCAAUCUUUUCCUCACUGAAAUGUCAUCACACUGCAAAGUGUAUUAUAUGUUAAAAACCAGGAAAAAAGUACAGUUUUAUAUUCAAGAUAUACAUAAAUUAUGAUCAUUUGGUUGAUCAGAAUUAACUACUGUAAUAUGAAUUUACUGUAUCUGCAAUAAAAUCCUUUUCUAUUAAAAUAGA
This is an RNA transcript of Cervus elaphus (red deer), 1747 nucleotides long. It is a transcript of the gene named ninein-like protein, with no coding region annotated. The transcript is spliced from 8 exons. The record is from RefSeq and is a predicted model, not a curated record. NCBI's taxonomy places the organism in Eukaryota, Metazoa, Chordata, Mammalia, Artiodactyla, Cervidae.